This 253-nucleotide ribosomal RNA is filed under the name uncultured bacterium. Its description in RNAcentral is "partial 16S ribosomal RNA". It matches the Rfam family "Bacterial small subunit ribosomal RNA", at positions 524 to 776 of the family's 1533-position model. The record is from RNAcentral.
UACGUAGGGAGCAAGCGUUGUUCGGAUUCAUUGGGCGUAAAGGGUGCGUAGGUGGUAACGCAAGUCUGGUGUGAAAUCUCGGAGCUUAACUCCGAAAUUGCACCGGAUACUGCGUAACUCGAGGACUGUAGAGGAGAUCGGAAUUCACGGUGUAGCAGUGAAAUGCGUAGAUAUCGUGAGGAAGACCAGUUGCGAAGGCGGAUCUCUGGGCAGUUCCUGACACUGAGGCACGAAGGCCAGGGGAGCAAACGGG